ACGCUCGACACCUACGGGAGCAGCAGUGGGGAAUAUUGCACAAUGGGGGAAACCCUGAUGCAGCGACGCCGCGUGAGCGAAGAAGUAUUUCGGUAUGUAAAGCUCUAUCAGCAGGGAAGAAAGUGACGGUACCUGACUAAGAAGCACCGGCUAAAUACGUACCAGCAGCCGCGGUAAUCUGAGCGGGCUGGCAAGGC
This 197-nucleotide ribosomal RNA is filed under the name uncultured bacterium. RNAcentral's name for it is "partial 16S ribosomal RNA". It matches the Rfam family "Bacterial small subunit ribosomal RNA", at positions 328 to 539 of the family's 1533-position model. The record is from RNAcentral.